AACAUUAGUCUAUGGGGGCAACUCUGACCCAGCCACGACGCGUGCGUGAAGAAGGUCGUCGGAUUGUAAAGCACUUUAAUUCGGGAGGAAGGCGUUUAGGUUAAUACCCUGAUGCUUCGACGUUAUCUACAGCAUAAGCAGGGGCAAAGUCUUUGCCAGCAGCCGCGGUAAUACAGAGGGUGCAAGCGUUAAUCGGAAUUACUGAGCGUAAAGCGCGCGUAGGUGGUUCAGUAAGAUGGGUGUGAAAUCCCCGGGCUUAACCUGGGAACUGCUUUCAUAACUGCUGAGCUAGAGUACGGUAGAGGGUAGUGGAAUUUCCUGUGUAGCGGUGAAAUGCGUAGGUAUAGGAAGGAACACCAGUGGCGAAGGCGACUACCUGGACUGAUACUGACACUGAGGUGCGAAAGCGUGAGGAGCAAAC
RNAcentral lists this ribosomal RNA (421 nucleotides) under uncultured bacterium. RNAcentral's name for it is "partial 16S ribosomal RNA". It matches the Rfam family "Bacterial small subunit ribosomal RNA", at positions 360 to 773 of the family's 1533-position model. The record is from RNAcentral.